This 468-nucleotide ribosomal RNA is filed under the name uncultured bacterium. Its description in RNAcentral is "partial 16S ribosomal RNA". It matches the Rfam family "Bacterial small subunit ribosomal RNA", at positions 28 to 507 of the family's 1533-position model. The record is from RNAcentral.
GACGAACGCUGGCGGCGUGCUUAACACAUGCAAGUCGAACGGAAAGGCCCUGCUUUUGUGGGGUGCUCGAGUGGCGAACGGGUGAGUAACACGUGAGUAACCUGCCCUUGACUUUGGGAUAACUUCAGGAAACUGGGGCUAAUACCGGAUAGGAGCUCCUGCUGCAUGGUGGGGGUUGGAAAGUUUCGGCGGUUGGGGAUGGACUCGCGGCUUAUCAGCUUGUUGGUGGGGUAGUGGCUUACCAAGGCUUUGACGGGUAGCCGGCCUGAGAGGGUGACCGGCCACAUUGGGACUGAGAUACGGCCCAGACUCAUACGGGAGGCAGCAGUGGGGAAUAUUGCACAAUGGGCGGAAGCCUGAUGCAGCAACGCCGCGUGCGGGAUGACGGCCUUCGGGUUAUAAACCGCUUUCGCCUGUGACGAAGCGUGAGUGACGGUAAUGGGUAAAGAAGCACCGGCUAACUACGUG